UGGGGAAUAUUGCGCAAUGGGCGAAAGCCUGACGCAGCAACACCGCGUGAGGGAUGACGGCCUUCGGGUUGUAAACCUCUUUCAGCUCCGACGAAGCGAAAGUGACGGUAGGAGCAGAAGAAGCACCGGCUAACUACGUGCCAGCAGCCGCGGUAAUACGUAGGGUGCAAGCGUUGUCCGGAAUUAUUGGGCGUAAAGAGCUCGUAGGCGGUCCGUUGCGUCUGCCGUGAAAACCCGGAGCUCAACUCCGGGCCUGCGGUGGAUACGGGCGGACUAGAGUCCGGUAGGGGAGACUGGAAUUCCUGGUGUAGCGGUGGAAUGCGCAGAUAUCAGGAGGAACACCGGUGGCGAAGGCGGGUCUCUGGGCCGGAACUGACGCUGAGGAGCGAAAGCGUGGGGAGCAAACAGGAUUAGAUACCCUGGUAGUCCACACCGUAAACGAUGAAUGCCAGUCGUCGGGUAGCAUGCUAUUCGGUGACACACCUAACGGAUUAAGCAUUCCGCCUGGGGAGUACGGUCGC
Molecule: ribosomal RNA, 521 nt
Filed under: uncultured bacterium
Lineage: Bacteria
Description: bacterial SSU rRNA
Rfam family: Bacterial small subunit ribosomal RNA
Source: RNAcentral